This is a long non-coding RNA of Eupeodes corollae, 655 nucleotides long. RefSeq lists it as uncharacterized. The record is from RefSeq and is a predicted model, not a curated record. The transcript has 3 exons. Lineage: Eukaryota; Metazoa; Arthropoda; Insecta; Diptera; Syrphidae.
GGGAUAAGUUAAAUAAAGUCCAACAUUCAGCCUGCCUAUGUAUAAGCGAAUCGCUUCGAACGACCCCGUCUGCAGCACUGGACACCUUGCUCUACCUUACACCUCUUGACAUAUUUAGUAAACAAAUAGCUCAAAGCUUCGUCGCAGUGGACUAACAACAACAUUGGCUACUCCGUAAUUCUAAGAAAAUAUUAAAAGUCAAAGAUUGCUUUCAUACACAAAUAUUGUAACGGACUAUCCAAUUUGCGGUUUCAAAAGAAUAGGCUGGAAUUUUUUUCAGUUGAAAGUCUGAGGGUCCGGCCACGUAAUGAGCGACGAGCGACCGAGCGACGCAAACAAAUUAGAACACAUGAAAUCGUAUGGAGCUGGCCACAUAUCUGCCCAAAGCUGCCCAGUGCUAUGGCAGGACACCCACAAAGAUUACAAAAAUAAAAAGAGGCUGGGAUGCGACCCACACUGAUAACUUCCCAUCCCGUCUGUCGAUUUGUCUUGCUUAAAAGUUUGUCUAUAUGUACUCGUAUCAAUUUUUACCAAAUUUGCGCACUAUUUUUUGUAGAUUUUAUUUUUUUAUGAAAACACUGACUGUUGGAUUUUUAUAUAAAAAUUACUGAAUAUUGAAAACAAUAUUUUCUGUGAAAUAAAAUAAGUUUGAAUA